Molecule: ribosomal RNA, 1357 nt
Filed under: uncultured bacterium
Lineage: Bacteria
Description: bacterial SSU rRNA
Rfam family: Bacterial small subunit ribosomal RNA
Source: RNAcentral
AUUGAACGCUGGCGGCAGGCUUAACACAUGCAAGUCGAGCGGUAACAGGAGAAGCUUGCUUCUCGCUGACGAGCGGCGGACGGGUGAGUAAUACUUAGGAAUCUGCCCAGUAGUGGGGGAUAGCUCGGGGAAACUCGAAUUAAUACCGCAUACACCCUACGGGGAAAAGGGGGCACUUGUGCUCUCGCUAUUGGAUGAGCCUAAGUCGGAUUAGCUAGUUGGUGGGGUAAAGGCCUACCAAGGCGACGAUCUGUAGCUGGUCUGAGAGGAUGAUCAGCCACACCGGGACUGAGACACGGCCCGGACUCCUACGGGAGGCAGCAGUGGGGAAUAUUGGACAAUGGGGGCAACCCUGAUCCAGCCAUGCCGCGUGUGUGAAGAAGGCCUUUUGGUUGUAAAGCACUUUAAGCAGUGAAGAAGACUCUAUGGUUAAUACCCAUAGACGAUGACAUUAGCUGCAGAAUAAGCACCGGCUAACUCUGUGCCAGCAGCCGCGGUAAUACAGAGGGUGCAAGCGUUAAUCGGAAUUACUGGGCGUAAAGCGAGCGUAGGUGGCUUGAUAAGUCAGAUGUGAAAUCCCCGGGCUUAACCUGGGAACUGCAUCUGAUACUGUUAGGCUAGAGUAGGUGAGAGGGAGGUAGAAUUUCAGGUGUAGCGGUGAAAUGCGUAGAGAUCUGAAGGAAUACCGAUGGCGAAGGCAGCCUCCUGGCAUCAUACUGACACUGAGGUUCGAAAGCGUGGGUAGCAAACAGGAUUAGAUACCCUGGUAGUCCACGCCGUAAACGAUGUCUACUAGUCGUUGGGGAACUUGAUUCCUUAGUGACGCAGCUAACGCAAUAAGUAGACCGCCUGGGGAGUACGGCCGCAAGGUUAAAACUCAAAUGAAUUGACGGGGGCCCGCACAAGCGGUGGAGCAUGUGGUUUAAUUCGAUGCAACGCGAAGAACCUUACCUGGUCUUGACAUAUCUAGAAUCCUGCAGAGAUGCGGGAGUGCCUUCGGGAAUUAGGAUACAGGUGCUGCAUGGCUGUCGUCAGCUCGUGUCGUGAGAUGUUGGGUUAAGUCCCGCAACGAGCGCAACCCUUUUCCUUAGUUACCAGCGGUUUGGCCGGGGACUCUAAGGAUACUGCCAGUGACAAACUGGAGGAAGGCGGGGACGACGUCAAGUCAUCAUGGCCCUUACGACCAGGGCUACACACGUGCUACAAUGGUAGGUACAGAGGGCAGCUACACAGCGAUGUGAUGCGAAUCUCAAAAAGCCUAUCGUAGUCCAGAUUGGAGUCUGCAACUCGACUCCAUGAAGUCGGAAUCGCUAGUAAUCGCGGAUCAGAAUGCCGCGGUGAAUACGUUCCCGGGCCU